ACAGCAUCAGAUGUGUCUGACUUCUAAGGAAAAUGAGACCCCAGACACAUUGAUGGGUCAGUUCAGCAAAAACAAGAGUGGCAUUCCUGUCUGGAGAGGGUGGAGAGGAAGAGAGUCAGACACCUAUAGCACCGCGUCAUAGCCCAUGAAGCUUCUCCAGAGCAGGUGGAAGCAGGAAACGGAACCCAGGAGCCCUUCCAUCUGGAGCAGAUGACUUCAGAGACCCCAGGGCAGCUGGUCCGCAAGGCCAGGCAGUAGAGAAGGAGCCAGCAGGGGAGAGGUUCCUGCACAGCAUUAGAUGUGUCUGACUUCUAAGGAAAAUGAGACUCCAGACACAUUGAUGGGGCAUCAACAAGACUGUGGAUAGGAAAUGAGUGAGC
This is a long non-coding RNA of Erinaceus europaeus (western European hedgehog), 380 nucleotides long. RefSeq lists it as uncharacterized. The record is from RefSeq and is a predicted model, not a curated record. NCBI's taxonomy places the organism in Eukaryota, Metazoa, Chordata, Mammalia, Eulipotyphla, Erinaceidae. The transcript is spliced from 5 exons.